GCCCACAUCUGAUGAAGGUAAAAUCCAAGCAGCGUUGAAAAGUAACCAGGAAUGCCUGACUUCAACUACUAGCAUAUAAAAACUGAAUAACCGAAAGUUAACUAAAAAUUAUUCAUAGUAAAAAAUGAAAAAAAAAGUGAGUAGAGUGGAGUGAGGGAAAUGUUUACAGGAUGAUUAGUAUGACCUUAAACACGAAGCAGUUGAAUUUGCUGUUAAUAUACACCGAUACAUUAACGCGAUAAUGCUGGCCUGUAA
This is a long non-coding RNA of Zophobas morio, 255 nucleotides long. RefSeq lists it as uncharacterized. NCBI's taxonomy places the organism in Eukaryota, Metazoa, Arthropoda, Insecta, Coleoptera, Tenebrionidae. The transcript is spliced from 3 exons. The record is from RefSeq and is a predicted model, not a curated record.